AGUGGAUGGGGAGCAACAAAAGUUGUGUGUGUGUAAAGGUAGUGCCAAGAAAAGCUGAGUUGAUGUUGAACAAAAGAUUCCGGUACCCGAAACCGACACAGGUGGGUAGGUAGAGUAUACUAAGGGGCGCGAGAUAACUCUCUCUAAGGAACUCGGCAAAAUGACUCCGUAACUUCGGGAGAAGGAGUGCCUUAUUUAUAAGGUUGCAAUAACAAGAUCCAAGCAACUGUUUAUCAAAAACACAGGUCUCCGCUAAGUCGUAAGACGAUGUAUGGGGGCUGACGCCUGCCCAGUGCCAGAAGGUUAAAGAAGUUGGUUAGUGUAUGCGAAGCUGAUGACUGAAGCCCUGGUGAACGGCGGCCGUAACUAUAACGGUCCUAAGGUAGCGAGAUUCCUUGUCGGGUAAGUUCCGACCCGCACGAAAGGCGUAAUGAUUUGGAUACUGUCUCGGAGAGAGGCUCGGUGAAAUAGACUUGUCUGUGAAGAUGCGGACUACCUGCACCAGGACAGAAAGACCCUAUGAAGCUUUACUGUAACUUGAAAUUGGAAUUGGACUUUGCUUGCGCAGUAUAGGUGGGAAGCGUUGAAGAUAUUCUUGCGGGAGUAUUGGAGCUAUCAGUGAGAUACCACUCUUGUAAUGUUAGAUUUCUAACUUUGAACCAUAAUCUGGUCAAAGAACAGUUUCAGGUGGGCAGUUUGACUGGGGCGGUCGCCUCCCAAAUGGUAACGGAGGCGUACAAAGGUUUCCUCUGAACGGAUAGAAAUCGUAUCUAGAGUGUAAAGGCAUAAGGAAGCUUGACUGUGAGACCUACAAGUCGAGCAGGGACGAAAGUCGGUCUUAGUGAUCUGACGGUACUGAGUGGAAAGGCCGUCACUCAACGGAUAAAAGUUACUCUAAGGAUAACAGGCUGAUCUCCCCCAAGAGUUCACAUCGACGGGGAGGUUUGGCACCUCGAUGUCGGCUCAUCGCAUCCUGGGGCGGUAGUACGUCCCAAGGGUUGGGCUGUUCGCCCAUGAAAGCGGUACGCGAGCUGGGUUCAGAACGUCGUGAGACAGUUCGGUCCAUAUCCGGUGUAGGCGUUAGAAUAUUGAGAGGAGCCUUCUUUAGUACGAGAGGACCGAGAAGGACACACCGCUGGUGUACCAGUUAUCGAGCCAACGGUAAACGCUGGGUAGCUAUGUGUGGAGUGGAUAACCGCUGAAAGCAUCUAAGUGGGAAGCCCACCUCAAGAUGAG
RNAcentral lists this ribosomal RNA (1236 nucleotides) under metagenome. RNAcentral's name for it is "bacterial LSU rRNA". It matches the Rfam family "Bacterial large subunit ribosomal RNA", at positions 1561 to 2808 of the family's 2925-position model. The record is from RNAcentral.